This is a small nucleolar RNA of Cavia porcellus (domestic guinea pig), 137 nucleotides long. The record is from Ensembl. NCBI's taxonomy places the organism in Eukaryota, Metazoa, Chordata, Mammalia, Rodentia, Caviidae.
UUGGACCUGAAUCAAGGCCGACAGCUUCCUGAUGUUGUUGGUUUCAAGCAGAAGCCUAAAGAGAUGUGUUUCUGUGGUCUGUUGGCCAUUUCAGAACUCGGGCAAUGAAAUGGUCAAUUCUUUAGAACAAAACAGAU